CGGCGCGCCGCCCGUGACCUCGAUGGCUGGCAGAGGCUGGAUUUCGGCGAACGUCGUCAUGGUCGUGGGCAGCUGGAUCUCUUUGGGGAUCAGGUGUCUACUAACUUCUGGAACAUGGCAUAGAAGAAAUGGGCCAGACUAUUUAUGGGAUUUCAUUGGGAGGAUUGUUGCCAACAAUCCCUUUUCUCUCCUACCAGCAGGAUAAGAAACAGAAAACACUGGAAACCAUGGUGUCUUUUUGCUAUGGACAAUUGUCUGGUGUGGUACUUAACAAUGCUACAGCCAUGUUAUAGGCACGAG
Long non-coding RNA from Lontra canadensis (Northern American river otter), 300 nucleotides. RefSeq lists it as uncharacterized. The record is from RefSeq and is a predicted model, not a curated record. The transcript is spliced from 3 exons. NCBI's taxonomy places the organism in Eukaryota, Metazoa, Chordata, Mammalia, Carnivora, Mustelidae.